AAAACUUCUCAACCACUUGGAGUCUCUCUGGGUGGCUUGGAAAUGGGGGAUGUGCAGGCCAGCUAAUGGUCUGCUCCCCUGAAAUGAAUUAGUGGCAUCUGAGCAGAGACUACCACAGGUGUGAUAACUAUUGAUCAAUGCCUUGGUAUAUACUGCAGGUUGUUGCUGCUUCUAAUGACCCAUUGACAA
Molecule: unclassified non-coding RNA, 189 nt
Filed under: uncultured Inocybe
Lineage: Eukaryota; Fungi; Basidiomycota; Agaricomycetes; Agaricales; Cortinariaceae
Description: sequence contains ITS2
Source: RNAcentral